AGAACUUACUGAAGAAAUUUUUGACAUGAGCCUUAAUGAAACUCGGGACAAUGCUCCAGUAAUAUUAGUCUUGAUUAAACAUGGUGAAUGUUGAAGGCAAAAAGCAGCAGAGGAUGCAAUACAAGAAGGUUGGCAAAAAAGCAGUAGAGGAUGCAAUGCAAUAAGACGAAAGAGAGCUAAUUGAAAAACUUUUGUUUGGAACAAAGUGAUACAUGUGAUGAAGAACAAAGUUUACGUAUUGCUUGAUGUGAUUUCAUAUUUACUUAUAUACAAAACUUUAGUAUACGUUACAAAUUAAUUGAUGUGUAAAACGUAAAUUACAUUGAGUUAUAUCAAACAAUGAGUUAGUUGUAAUUCGAUAUCAAACUUGCAAUAAACGAGAAUCAAAUUUAAAAA
Malus domestica (apple) is the source of this 396-nucleotide non-coding RNA. NCBI's taxonomy places the organism in Eukaryota, Viridiplantae, Streptophyta, Magnoliopsida, Rosales, Rosaceae. The record is from RefSeq and is a predicted model, not a curated record.